Molecule: long non-coding RNA, 687 nt
Organism: Acomys russatus (golden spiny mouse)
Lineage: Eukaryota; Metazoa; Chordata; Mammalia; Rodentia; Muridae
Exons: 3
Source: RefSeq, a predicted model, not a curated record
AGAACCUUUGGAAUCCUCGCAGCCGCCUUGCCUUGUCUGCCCUGGGCUGUGCCGCCCUGGCUCUGAGCAGCUCAGGACACUUGCAGGCUCCCGUGGUACUGUACAUUAACUCUGCAGCAGCCCGCUCAGCUGCAGACUGCUGCCUGACAGGGGAUGUGCUGGCGUCAAGGGGGCCCUCUAGGUGGGUUCCCAGACACUGCAGGGCCGCGCGCUCUGUGCUAGCCUCUAAGAGUGAGUGAGAGGGGUUAAAGGAAGAUCCUGCCCAGAAGGAGCAGAUUUCUUUCAGAAUACUGCACUUGGGACAAGAUGCAGUCAUCAGAGUUGGGACUAUCAUCAGUAAAGCCACAUCUAUUGGUAAAAUGAAGCAACUGAUCAGAUAUCUUUAGAUCACACUCCAGCUCAAAUCUUUGGCACCAACAUGAGACGGCAUCACACACUGAGGCCCUGGCAGAUGUUCAAAGUACAACUGGCACUUUUGUGGAUUCAGCAGCAAUAGCCCUGCUGGGACCUGUGGCUGCAACCACUGUGACUAAGGUUUGGUCCCCCAGUUCCAAGCGCUGCUGCUUAAUCAGACCCCCACCUUGCCCUCGGGUUUCUAGUUAUCUAGGCCUACAAGCCCUUACUAUUAGAAACCAAAUGCUUUCCUUCCCAGCUGUUUCUUAGGGGGAGGGGUAAAAAGAAAAUGAC